AGUGAACGCUGGCGGUAGGCCUAACACAUGCAAGUCGAACGGCAGCACAGUAAGAGCUUGCUCUUACGGGUGGCGAGUGGCGGACGGGUGAGGAAUACAUCGGAAUCUACUUUUUCGUGGGGGAUAACGUAGGGAAACUUACGCUAAUACCGCAUACGACCUACGGUUGAAAGCAGGGGAUCUUCGGACCUUGCGCGAUUGAAUUAGCCGAUGUCGGAUUAGCUAGUUGGCGGGGUAAAGGCCCACCAAGGCGACGAUCCGUAGCUGGUCUGAGAGGAUGAUAGGCCACAUGGGAACUGAGACACGGUCCAGACGCCUAAGGGAGGCAGCAGUGGGGAAUAUUGGACAAUGGGCGGAAGCCUGAUCCAGCCAUACCGCGUGGGUGAAGAAGGCCUUCGGGUUGUAAAGCCCUUUUGUUGGGAAAGAAAAGCAGCAGGUUAAGACCCCGCUGUUCUGACGGUACCCAAAGAAUAAGCACCGGCUAACUUCGUG
Molecule: ribosomal RNA, 492 nt
Filed under: uncultured bacterium
Lineage: Bacteria
Description: partial 16S ribosomal RNA
Rfam family: Bacterial small subunit ribosomal RNA
Source: RNAcentral